GAUGAACGCUGGCGGCGUGCCUAAUACAUGCAAGUCGAGCGAACGGACGAGAAGCUUGCUUUUCUGAUGUUAGCGGCGGACGGGUGAGUAACACGUGGAUAACCUACCUAUAAGACUGGGAUAACUUCGGGAAACCGGAGCUAAUAUCGGAUAAUAUUUUGAACCGCAUGGUUCAAAAGUGAAAGACGGUCUUGCUGUCACUUAUAGAUGGAUCCGCGCUGCAUUAGCUAGUUGGUAAGGUAACGGCUUACCAAGGCAACGAUGCAUAGCCGACCUGAGAGGGUGAUCGGCCACACUGGAACUGAGACACGGUCCAGACUCCUACGGGAGGCAGCAGUAGGGAAUCUUCCGCAAUGGGCGAAAGCCUGACGGAGCAACGCCGCGUGAGUGAUGAAGGUCUUCGGAUCGUAAAACUCUGUUAUUAGGGAAGAACAUAUGUGUAAGUAACUGUGCACAUCUUGACGGUACCUAAUCAGAAAGCCACGGCUAACUACGUG
Molecule: ribosomal RNA, 497 nt
Filed under: uncultured bacterium
Lineage: Bacteria
Description: partial 16S ribosomal RNA
Rfam family: Bacterial small subunit ribosomal RNA
Source: RNAcentral